GACGAACGCUGGCGGCGUGCCUAAUACAUGCAAGUCGAACGCUGAAGGAGGAGCUUGCUUCUCUGGAUGAGUUGCGAACGGGUGAGUAACGCGUAGGUAACCUGCCUGGUAGCGGGGGAUAACUAUUGGAAACGAUAGCUAAUACCGCAUAAGAGUAGAUGUUGCAUGACAUUUGCUUAAAAGGUGCAAUUGCAUCACUACCAGAUGGACCUGCGUUGUAUUAGCUAGUUGGUGGGGUAACGGCUUACCAAGGCGACGAUACAUAGCCGACCUGAGAGGGUGAUCGGCCACACUGGGACUGAGACACGGCCCAGACUCCUACGGGAGGCAGCAGUAGGGAAUCUUCGGCAAUGGACGGAAGUCUGACCGAGCAACGCCGCGUGAGUGAAGAAGGUUUUCGGAUCGUAAAGCUCUGUUGUAAGAGAAGAACGAGUGUGAGAGUGGAAAGUUCACACUGUGACGGUAUCUUACCAGAAAGAGACGGCUAACUACGUG
Molecule: ribosomal RNA, 495 nt
Filed under: uncultured bacterium
Lineage: Bacteria
Description: partial 16S ribosomal RNA
Rfam family: Bacterial small subunit ribosomal RNA
Source: RNAcentral